Molecule: ribosomal RNA, 253 nt
Filed under: uncultured bacterium
Lineage: Bacteria
Description: partial 16S ribosomal RNA
Rfam family: Bacterial small subunit ribosomal RNA
Source: RNAcentral
UACGUAGGGUGCAAGCGUUGUCCGGAAUUACUGGGCGUAAAGCGCAUGUAGGUGGUUUAAUAAGUUUGAUGUGAAUGCCCUGGGCUUAACCUGGGAACGGCGUUGAAGACUGUUGAACUGGAGAGUGAUAGAGGGUCGUGGAAUUUCCGGUGUAGCGGUGAAAUGCGUAGAGAUCGGAAAGAACACCAGUGGCGAAGGCGGCGACCUGGGUCACCACUGACACUGAGGUGCGAAAGCGUGGGGAGCAAACAGG